This 420-nucleotide ribosomal RNA is filed under the name uncultured bacterium. Its description in RNAcentral is "bacterial SSU rRNA". It matches the Rfam family "Bacterial small subunit ribosomal RNA", at positions 8 to 414 of the family's 1533-position model. The record is from RNAcentral.
AGAGUUUGAUCCUGGCUCAGAGCGAACGUUAGCGGCAGGCUUAACACAUGCAAGUCGAGCGAGAAAGGGGCUUCGGCUCCGAGUAAAGCGGCGGACGGGUGCGUAACACGUGGAUAAUCUGCCUCGUGGCGGGGGACAACAGUCCGAAAGGACUGCUAAUACCGCAUGUCAGGUCGGAAACUCCGGUUUCUGACGAAAAAGAGGGCGCCCGCAAGGGGCUCUCACCACGAGAUGAGUCCGCGUCCCAUCAGCUAGUUGGCGGUGUAAUAGACCACCAAGGCUUAGACGGGUAGCUGGUCUGAGAGGAUGACCAGCCACACUGGGACUGAGACACGGCCCAGACUCCUACGGGAGGCAGCAGUGGGGAAUAUUGGACAAUGGGCGAAGCCUGAUCCAGCCAUGCCGCGUGAGUGAUGAAGG